This 207-nucleotide long non-coding RNA is filed under the name Carica papaya (papaya). RNAcentral's name for it is "long non-coding RNA (CPAP_LNC002365)". Lineage: Eukaryota; Viridiplantae; Streptophyta; Magnoliopsida; Brassicales; Caricaceae. The record is from RNAcentral.
UGAGCUUUUAAUUGUUGUUGGCAAGGUCAUAAGAUUAACCCUACCCUUGAUGUGGCCUUAGGAUUGGUUUUACCCAAGUACAAUCCCAACAUAAACUUAACCCAAAUACAGUUUUAGCUCUUGAACUUUCCCGUGUUAGGUCUCUACGUUAUCCUAGUUUUAGUACAUCACUAACCUAGUCUCUAUCCAUGCACAAUAUUAGGUAAA